GUAGCAGGUUAGGAUAAUUAAAGUAGCAGGUUAGGAUAAUUAAAGUAGCAGGGUAGGAUCAAUAAAGUAGAAGGGUAGGAUCGAUAAAGUAGGAGGGUAGGAUAAUUAAAGUAGCAGAUUAGGCUAAUUAAAGUAGCAGGUUAGGCUAAUUAAAGUAGAAGGUUAGGCUAAUUAAAAUAGCAGGUUAGGCUAAUUAAAAUAGCAGGUUAGGCUAAUUAAAAUCGCAGGUUAGGAUAAUUAAAGUAGCAGGUUAGGAUCAUUAAAGUAGCAGGUUAGGAUCAUUAAAGUAGCAGGUUAGGAUCAUUAAAGUAGCAGGUUAGGAUCAUUAAAGUAGCAGGUUAGGAUAAUUAAAGUAGCAGGUUAGGAUAAUUAAAGUAGCAGGUUAGGAUAAUUAAAGUAGAGGUUAGGAUAAUUAAAGUAGAGGUUAGGAUAAUUAAAGUAGAGGUUAGGGUAAUUAAAGUAGAGGUUAGGAUAAUUAAAGUAGAGGUUAGGAUAAUUAAAGUAGCAGGUUAGGAUAAUUAAAGUAGAGGUUAGGGUAAUUAAAGUAGAGGUUAGGAUAAUUAAAGUAGAGGUUAGGAUAAUU
Oncorhynchus keta (chum salmon) is the source of this 583-nucleotide long non-coding RNA. RefSeq lists it as uncharacterized. The record is from RefSeq and is a predicted model, not a curated record. NCBI's taxonomy places the organism in Eukaryota, Metazoa, Chordata, Actinopteri, Salmoniformes, Salmonidae. The transcript has 4 exons.